GGAAUAGCCUUCAGAAGAGAAGUGAUGUGGCUGCUGAAUUUUGACCUGCUCUGAAUAUGGUAUGAAUCAGGUUCUAGAGUACCAUGGAAACUCAGCUGCAAUGUGGUGCAGUAUUUGUAAGAUUAUACAGAUUGAACAGGAAAAUGUGACAAUUAAAGAGAGCCAGUGAACCUU
This is a non-coding RNA of Coturnix japonica (Japanese quail), 174 nucleotides long. Lineage: Eukaryota; Metazoa; Chordata; Aves; Galliformes; Phasianidae. The record is from RefSeq and is a predicted model, not a curated record.